Molecule: unclassified non-coding RNA, 343 nt
Filed under: soil metagenome
Description: partial contains 5.8S ribosomal RNA, internal transcribed spacer 2, and large subunit ribosomal RNA
Rfam family: 5.8S ribosomal RNA (bases 1-120)
Source: RNAcentral
GAUGAAGAACGUAGCGAAAUGCGAUAAGUAAUGUGAAUUGCAGAAUUCAGUGAAUCAUCGAAUCUUUGAACGCACAUUGCGCCCGCUAGUAUUCUGGCGGGCAUGCCUGUCCGAGCGUCAUUUCAACCCUCAAGCCCCCGGGCUUGGUGUUGGGGAUCGGCGAGCCUCCGCGCCCGCCGUCCCCUAAAUCUAGUGGCGGUCUCGCUGUAGCUUCCUCUGCGUAGUAGCACACCUCGCACUGGGAAACAGCGCGGCCACGCCGUUAAACCCCCAACUUCUGAACGUUUGACCUCGGAUCAGGUAGGAAUACCCGCUGAACUUAAGAAUAUCAAUAAGCGGAGGA